RNAcentral lists this long non-coding RNA (304 nucleotides) under Mytilus galloprovincialis (Mediterranean mussel). The record is from RNAcentral. Lineage: Eukaryota; Metazoa; Mollusca; Bivalvia; Mytilida; Mytilidae.
GCCCGGGAAUAUCAUGUCAACUAGGAGAUACAUUAUUUGUUUUCCUGUUUUAAUGGUUUUACACUAGUAAUUUUUUGGGGGUCCUUUAUAGAUUGAUGUUUGGUGUGAGUCGAUGUUCCAUGUUAUGUACAAUGAAUGUCGUGAUCUUCAUCAUCCUGAUGAUACAUAAGUUAAACAGGAUUAGAGACUAGCACAUAUUAAUCAAAUCCUAAUGUUCUUUGACCAAUAUCAUUAAAAGAGGGGCGAAAGAUACCAUAGAUACAUUCAAACUCAUCAAUCGAAAACAAAAUGUCAAUGCCAUGGC